UACAGAGGGGGCAAGCGUUAUUCGGAAUUAUUGGGCGUAAAGGGUGUGUAGGUGGUUAUGUUAGUCUUGUGUUAAAUUCUUCGGCUCAACCGGGGGUCUGCAUGGGAAACGGCAUAACUAGAGGAUAGGAGAGGUGUGUGGAACUCAUAGUGUAGGGGUGAAAUCCGUUGAUAUUAUGGGGAACACCAAAUGCGAAGGCAGCACACUGGCCUACUCCUGACACUGAAACACGAAAGCGUGGGUAGCGAAUGGG
RNAcentral lists this ribosomal RNA (253 nucleotides) under uncultured bacterium. Its description in RNAcentral is "partial 16S ribosomal RNA". It matches the Rfam family "Bacterial small subunit ribosomal RNA", at positions 524 to 776 of the family's 1533-position model. The record is from RNAcentral.